Molecule: long non-coding RNA, 688 nt
Filed under: Bos mutus (wild yak)
Lineage: Eukaryota; Metazoa; Chordata; Mammalia; Artiodactyla; Bovidae
Description: lncRNA (ENSBMUG00000007489.1)
Source: RNAcentral
CCCGUGCGAGGAAAGGGGCGCCGGGGAGAUCUCGGCUUUCCUGCACGCCCAGCGGCGGCCGCGGACCGCGCAGACGCGCAGCCCUAGGGAGCAGGAGUCUCCUCCGGCGCCCGGGAUCCCCAUCGCAGCUCCGAGCUGCCUAACGGAGCACAUCGCAUGCGCACCGAGACGCACCGGGGAAAGGGAUAGUGAGGGGAGGGACGAACGAAAAGCGCCGGCAGUCGGAGCCCGCAGGGGGUCACUGACUACGCAUGCGCCGGGAGGGAGCGCAAUCACAGACUAGUCUUGCGGCUACCGGCUUAAAAAAGGAAACCCCCGAGACCGAGAGCGCGAAGGAAAUCUGGCCGCCGACGCGUGCGCGCUCCCGUGAAAGAAAAGCACUAGAAGGAACUUUUAGUCGUUGUUGAUUUGGCCGUUACGCUGAUGCCCCAAUCAAAAAAAGGAGGGCUCCUGAUGGUUAGUUGAUCAGUUCUUCCAUUCAUAGUGAGGUUUUCUCUCAAGCCCUUGCAAAAGCUCCACAAAAGGAUCAUCCUCCUUAAGACUUUCCAUCAACUUUCUUUCCAGGAGUCCUCUUCUAAGACCCUUGAUGAUAGAGGACUGAGAAGAGCUGCAGAAUGGUAAUUAUAUUGCAGUCAAGUGGUGAGGGCUUAAAAUGAACUCUGCCUGUUAGCUCUGUGUGACUGAGUGA